CCACCCCCAAAUCCCUUGCCUCCACCAGAUCCCCCGCCGCCACCCCGAAACCUAGCUAGUUCGUGCACCGCGCGGCCACCUCCGUGCUAGACCACCGCGCUCGACCACCGCCCGCCAGUGUAGCUCCCCCACCCCCACCGCCGGCGUAGCCCAUCACCACCGCAGCUCCUCUACUUCCGCGCACCCCAAUCCGCACUCCAGUGGACCGCAAGACACCACCGCCCCCAACUAUCCACCGUCGACGGAGGCCCUCCAACCAGCAAACCACUGCCGCCGUCUCCCCCCAUAACGCGUGGCAGACACUCCGCCCCUCCGCCGCCCUAACUACCACUGCAUCCUGCUCCCGACCACUGCCGUCGUUACCCCACUCCAGAGCAGCGCCUCCGGGCACCCCGUCAGCCACCAUCUUCAUCGCCAAAGCCACACCAUCGGUAGACACCAUCCUCCAUGGAAGGGCUUCAUCACAGCAACUACUACACUCGUGCACUUCCUCCCUGAGGAGGCUUCACCAAGCAUCAAGUCACUGGUCCGCCUCCUCCACAAGCCCCCGAAGCAGCAGACCACGUGUUGGCCCUCCUCUCCAGGGAGCAGCUUUGCCUGCUGAAUAUCCUUUCCCUGGACAUCGCUGCCUCCUGUACUUCAUUGGACAGGCAAUUUUAGUGAAACUGUUCAAGAAUGGACAAGUGUUAGAUGGAUAAAGCUAGAAAUACACAAGCAUAUAUAGACGGGGUAGAGAAAUUCAUAGAUUUUUCUUUUAGUCAUUCGACAAGAGGGAACACUAUACUAUGUCCUUGUAGAAUUUGCUUGAACUGUUGUUGGUUUGAAGCUCAGCAAUCAAAUGCAAUUCUUGUCGAGCGUGUAGAUCAAAUGGAGCAUAAUUUCCAAACAAUAGUUACAACUCUGAAGGAUGAACUUCAACAAAUGAGGAGACUGUUACAAUCAAAUAUGCAGCAAAAUAUUCAGUUCAAUCCAGAGUAUGACUUGUCUCGCUCUGGAUAUGAAUAUGGAGGUGGCCAUGGUGGUGGCUAUCGAUAUGAAGGUGGCCAUGGAGGUGGACAUCGACAUGAAGAUGGAUAUGAAGGUGGAUAUGGAGGUGGAUAUCGACAUGAAGAUGGAUAUGAAGGUGGAUAUGGAGGUGGAUAUGGACAUUAAGGGGGGUAUGAACAUGAAGGGGAGUAUGAGCAUGAAGAGAGUGUGGAAUCUGCCACCCGCAGCCAUGAGGUGCGACAAGAGAAAGAAGCAACCAUUUUGCAUAAGAAGGCUGAAGAAGCACUCUUGCAAAAGAAGUUAACAACACCCACUUAGAAAAACUUUGUACUUUCUAGUACCGCUCUACAUAAGGUGCUGCAAGAGAAGGAAUCAACCAUUUUGCAAAAGAAGAAGGCAACAGGGCUCACCCAACAAAGUAAGGAUGUGGCACUUCAUUGCCACAAGAUGGCAACAAGCAAGCAAGUUGCAAUCACACAAAAAAUCAGCAGUCAGAAAGGAAAGGAUGUGAUCAUGUACAAUCUUUAUCGAGAUCAUAGUAUCCUAGUGGCAAAAGCAACCAUUCUAUCAAUUGAUCAUAGAAAGGUGGUAGGUGGUCAGGAGCUUGGCUCUGAAUAUUGUGAGGUUGCCGUGAACUAUGUAAUAAAAAGGGAUGCUAUACUACCUCGUGGUGUUGGGAACAUGACCACCAUGGGGCAAGCUCAAGGGCGAUGUAUCACGUGGCCAUACAAGCAUUUGGAAGUGGACAAGUCUAUGGAAAAAAGCAGGAAUGCGACCACGAGCAGGCCGAGGAGGUUUCCCAAAGGUACACAAGUCGAUGAUGGUUUGGAAGAUUUUCAAGCUCCUGCAGAUUUGGAAGACCUACAAUAAUUGGUGGAGUGAUAAUGUAAUAUGCUUGUUUAGUUUGUGAAACAUGGACACUUGCUCCGCUCCUUUUGCUGGUUGUUAAGCCACUGUGCUCAUUUUGGUUGUGUGGCACACCCAGAUUUGGAAGAUUUGGAAGACCUACUAUUUCAUUUUGUUGGUUGUGUGGCACAUUUUAAAACGUAUAUGCAUUGUACCUUUUGUGGCACAACCUCCUUACACACACACACACACAUAUAUAUAUAUAUA
Non-coding RNA from Aegilops tauschii subsp. strangulata, 2100 nucleotides. NCBI's taxonomy places the organism in Eukaryota, Viridiplantae, Streptophyta, Magnoliopsida, Poales, Poaceae. The record is from RefSeq and is a predicted model, not a curated record.